GAUGAACGCUGGCGGCGUGCCUAAUACAUGCAAGUCGAGCGAACAGACGAGGAGCUUGCUCCUCUGACGUUAGCGGCGGACGGGUGAGUAACACGUGGAUAACCUACCUAUAAGACUGGGAUAACUUCGGGAAACCGGAGCUAAUACCGGAUAAUAUGUUGAACCGCAUGGUUCAACAGUGAAAGACGGUCUUGCUGUCACUUAUAGAUGGAUCCGCGCCGCAUUAGCUAGUUGGUAAGGUAACGGCUUACCAAGGCAACGAUGCGUAGCCGACCUGAGAGGGUGAUCGGCCACGCUGGAACUGAGACACGGUCCAGACGCCUACGGGAGGCAGCAGUAGGGAAUCUUCCGCAAUGGGCGAAAGCCUGACGGAGCAACGCCGGGUGAGUGAAGAAGGUCUUCGGAUCGUAAAACUCUGUUAUUAGGGAAGAACAAAUGUGUAAGUAACUAUGCACGUCUUGACGGUACCUAAUCAGAAAGCCAGGGCUAACUACGUG
RNAcentral lists this ribosomal RNA (497 nucleotides) under uncultured bacterium. Its description in RNAcentral is "partial 16S ribosomal RNA". It matches the Rfam family "Bacterial small subunit ribosomal RNA", at positions 28 to 507 of the family's 1533-position model. The record is from RNAcentral.